RNAcentral lists this ribosomal RNA (21 nucleotides) under Diuris platichila. RNAcentral describes it as "partial 28S ribosomal RNA". The record is from RNAcentral. Lineage: Eukaryota; Viridiplantae; Streptophyta; Magnoliopsida; Asparagales; Orchidaceae.
GCGACCCAGGAUGGGCGGGAU